RNAcentral lists this long non-coding RNA (1507 nucleotides) under Equus asinus (donkey). RNAcentral describes it as "lncRNA (ENSEASG00005027840.1)". The record is from RNAcentral. Lineage: Eukaryota; Metazoa; Chordata; Mammalia; Perissodactyla; Equidae.
CUGAGUUCGAAUUCUGCUCUGUCCCAUACUAGUUGUGAGAUGUGGGACAAGUCACCUCACCUCUCUUGAGUCUGUUUUCUCACCCAAGUGGGAUAAUAGGACUUACCUCGCAGAGGGUGGUGAGACUUAAGUAAGACCCUGUAGGGGAAGCGCGAGGCGCAGGGCCCCUCGCAGAAGAGCGCCCGAGAAAUCAAGCGCCACGGUGGGAGAGGUUCUUUCUGGCCGCCAAAUUGCGCCCUGCUCCCUGGCCCUGGCCUAGGCCGUGUUCGUGGCUUUGACCACGUAAAUGGGCCAUUUUAGCGGGGUCGAGAGCGAGGACAGCAAACGAGGCUGCGCUUCUCCCUGUCCACCAGGAGCACACGCAGCUGAGAGUCUUAAUUCACGUGGCUCGACAGGUGAUCCGGAGGAAUAUGUCGUGGUGUGUCUGUGUGUAUACAGGUGUGUGUGUAUCCACGCGCGUGUUCGUGCGUACGAGAGUGCCUGUGGUUGUGCGGGAAACAGCGUGUACCGGGCGGCCCGCGAAGAUUCUUCUCCCCAAGGCACCUUCCGGCUUUUCUCCGCGCCCCCUUCGCGGCUGCCGGGAGGGUAAUUAAACGGGACGCGCCGCAGCCGGCAAACAGAUGGCGUCUGCUUGCUCCGAGGCCGCCGGCAAACAGCGCAAAAGUCAAUGCCUCCCGGGUCCCCCGUCAGCGCCCCUGGCCCGGCUCCUACUCAGCGCCACCAAGCCAUGCCUCCAGCCCCCUGUGCACCCUCAGCCUCUGACUCCAGCCUCACUCCGGGUCUCCACCACGGCCAUCCCUUUGGACCCCACCUUCGCCUGGGCGAAAGCAUCGGGGAUGGGGCCAGCCGCGAACACUGACCGAGCUGUACCUCAGGCCGUGACGUCAGGACGGGCGAGUAAGGCGAAAGUUAAAAGUACUCCUGGGGGCCCGCGGCGACCUUGUCUGCAGCCCGGAAGGACCGACAGAUGGAUGCGCACCCUGCGUCCAAAAGGAUCUGGGGAGACAGAGAGGCCACUUUUAACUUUCGUUUAAAAAAGAAAAUUAAACUGUUCGUUAAUUUAAAACAAUAACGAUGAAAAGAAUCCCACCACCACGAAAAGGAAAUCGAGAUGCUGCAGAAGUGAGGAAAGGAAAGAGCAAGAGGGGGCAGAGGGAUGGGGCUGGGGGGAGGGGAGAAGAAAGGCGCAGAGCGCAGGGGACGCGGCGGGCGUGGACGGGAAGCGGGACCUCAUUCCUUCUCUCCCGACUCUUCCUUAAGAACGAAAAUCCUCGUAAACCACACUUACCCUCCUUGCUGCCUAUCGUAUCAGGACUUGAAAAUAAAGGACCUGCGUUUUAAGGGCAGUAGGGGAAAAAACAAAAUAGCCUCCAACUACUCCAAACGCGUCGGACUUGGGAGCGCGCCGAAACGGAGCCGGAAGGAGGCAGGAAAAAUCGUCUUGGCAUUUAUGCCAUAUGCACCCUCCUCUCUCCACCCCCACCCCGACCACAGUAAUUGAAUUGAC